UAGGGGGAUGGCGAUGGAGAUCGCCAAAACCGCCUUUUGUUUUGCCUAAAGUCUAAAAUCUGGUGAUUUGAAACCUAAAAGCUGAAAACAUAAGGCUGAUGGCUCCUACGAUUCC
Molecule: non-coding RNA, 115 nt
Filed under: Oscillatoriales cyanobacterium
Lineage: Bacteria; Bacillati; Cyanobacteriota; Cyanophyceae; Oscillatoriales
Also listed under: 1 other name
Description: Fluoride sequence
Rfam family: Fluoride riboswitch aptamer (crcB RNA motif)
Source: RNAcentral